Molecule: small RNA, 1452 nt
Filed under: Pongo abelii (Sumatran orangutan)
Lineage: Eukaryota; Metazoa; Chordata; Mammalia; Primates; Hominidae
Description: retained intron
Source: RNAcentral
CUUUCUAAAGACAAGUCUGCAGUGCUCACUCCCCUGCUUAAAACAUGCCGUGUUUCCUUUCCAACUUGUCCUCGAAAUAAAGUCAGGUGACUUACAAGGGCCUGGUCUGAACCUACUUCUCCAGCCUCAUGUCAUGUACUUUAUGCUCUAAUAAUACUGAGUUGCUUAUAAUUCCCUGGUCAAGCCACGUGUUUCAUGCCUCUAAGCUUUGCCCAUGCUGUGUCUUCUGCUGGAAUGCCCUUCACCACUGUGCCUCCCCUCUCCCCUUCACCUGCUUAGCUCUUACUCUUGGGCUCACUCAGGAACCUUCUCUGACUACCCUCCAACACCUGCUACAGCUGAGCUGAAUCCACCCCCUCUUUCACCCAGUGUUGCUACAGCACUUUCCACAUUACCCAGAAUCAUCUGUGUGCUUGUCUCUCUCUCCUUCCAGACCAGAGUCUAUGUCUUAUUUAUGCAUCAUUGUAAUCCCAGUGCCUGGCAUACAACAGGUCCUCAAUAUAUGCUUAUUAAACUGAACAGUGCUCUUGGCUUCUGGGUAUCCCUCCAAGUGCCUGAACCAUAAAGGAUACAGAUGUGGCCAGAGUGCCGUCUUCCUGCCAGCUUCAUCCCCUUCACAGCAGCUGCCCCGCCCCAGACACUCCCUUCUUUUGGCCUCACCCACCUCACGUGGCCCCCGGUGGCCUCUCUCUGGACAGUGGUCUGGAUAGCGCCUCUUGUUUCCAAGUGGUGUCCCUCAUGAAGUCCCUGGCACAGGGGGGCCGCACCAUCAUCUGCACCAUCCACCAGCCCAGUGCCAAGCUCUUUGAGAUGUUUGACAAGGUGAGUGUUUCCAGGCCUCAAGGAGGAUUGGCCUGAGAUGGAGGGAUGGAAGGGGGUCAGUAGGGGUGCCUGGCCCGCUGUUCCUUCCUUACCCUUCUCUUUCUGCUGCAGCUCUACAUCCUGAGCCAGGGUCAGUGCAUCUUCAAAGGCGUGGUAACCAACCUGAUCCCCUAUCUAAAGGGACUCGGCUUGCAUUGCCCCACCUACCACAACCCGGCUGACUUCAUCAUCGAGGUGGCCUCUGGCGAGUAUGGAGACCUGAACCCCAUGUUGUUCAGGGCUGUGCAAAAUGGGCUGUGCGCCAUGGCUGAGAAGAAGAGCAGCCCUGAGAAGAACGAGGUCCCUGCCCCCUGCCCCCCUUGUCCUCCGGAAGUGGAUCCCAUUGAAAGCCACACCUUUGCUACCAGCACCCUCACACAGUUCUGCAUCCUCUUCAAGAGGACCUUCCUGUCCAUCCUCAGGGACACGGUGAGGCGUCAGGCUGGGGGAGAGGAGGUUGGCACAGGCCUGACUUUUUGGGCUGUAGGAUCCCAGCAGCUGAGAUGGGAAUGGGGACCCUCCCUCACAGCCCUGCAAUGUGCCUGUGGGUCUCUGUGCCUGUGAGGGCAGCUCCGAGUUCCUACUCCAGGC